RNAcentral lists this ribosomal RNA (1570 nucleotides) under Papio hamadryas (hamadryas baboon). Its description in RNAcentral is "16S ribosomal RNA". It matches the Rfam family "Bacterial large subunit ribosomal RNA". Lineage: Eukaryota; Metazoa; Chordata; Mammalia; Primates; Cercopithecidae. The record is from RNAcentral.
GCCAACACUAGCUCCAAGCACAACCAACACUAAUAUCAAACCCACAUGUAUACCAAACCAUUAACCCAUAUUAAGUAUAGGCGAUAGAAAUCUUAACCUGGCGCUAUAGAUACAGUACCGUAAGGGAAAGACAAGAAAACCACCCAAGCACAAAACAGCAAGGACUAACCCCUGUACCUUUUGCAUAAUGAAUUAGCCAGAAACAAUUUCACAAAGAGAACUGAAGCCAAAUUCCCCGAAACCAGACGAGCUACCCAAAAACAGCUGAAAGAGCGCACCCGUCUAUGUGGCAAAAUAGUGGGAAGAUUUCUGGGUAGAGGUGACAAGCCUACCGAGCCUGGUGAUAGCUGGUUAUCCAAGAUAGAAUCUUAGUUCAGCCUUAAGUUUACCCACAGAAUAACCCAAUCCCAAUCCCUCUGUAAACUUAAUUGUUAGUCUAAAGAGGGACAGCUCUUUAGACACUAGGAAAAACCUUACAUAGAGAGUAAAAACCCCCGUCACCAUAGUUGGCCUAAAAGCAGCCAUCAAUUAAGAAAGCGUUCAAGCUCAACAUUAACCACCUAAAAAAUCCCAAACAUACUAUUGAACUCCUUAAAUCACAUUGGAUUAAUCUAUCACCCCAUAGAAGCAAUAAUGCUAGUAUAAGUAACAUGAACUCUCUCUCUCCCUACUGCAUAAGCCUAAACCAAACCAAAACCCCACUGAUACUUAACAGCCCAGUACUAACAAACUCAAACAAGUCCAUACUACUCUUACUGUUAAUCCAACACAGGCAUGCUUUUAAGGAAAGGUUAAAAAAAGUAAAAGGAACUCGGCAAACUUAGCCCCGCCUGUUUACCAAAAACAUCACCUCUAGCAUUACUAGUAUUAGAGGCACUGCCUGCCCAGUGACACACGUUUAACGGCCGCGGUACCCUGACCGUGCAAAGGUAGCAUAAUCACUUGUUCUUUAAAUAGGGACUCGCAUGAAUGGCAACACGAGGGUUCAGCUGUCUCUUACUUUUAACCAGUGAAAUUGACCUAUCCGUGAAGAGGCGGACAUGAAACAAUAAGACGAGAAGACCCCAUGGAGCUUCAAUUUACUAAUGUAGCUAAGAAUCGUAUAAAUCCUCGGACUCUAAAACUUCUAUGCCUACAUUAAAAAUUUUGGUUGGGGCGGCCUCGGAGCACAAACAAACCUCCGAGUGAUCCACGCCAAGGCCUCACAAGCCAAAGCGAACUAAUAUUCACAAUUGACCCAAUAAUUUGAUCAACGGAACAAGUUACCCUGGGGAUAACAGCGCAAUUCUAUUCUAGAGUCCAUAUCAACAAUAGAGUUUACGACCUCGAUGUUGGAUCAGGACAUCCUAAUGGUGCAGCAGCUAUCAAGGGUUCGUUUGUUCAACGAUUAAAGUCCUACGUGAUCUGAGUUCAGACCGGAGCAAUCCAGGUCGGUUUCUAUCUAUUCCACAUUUCUCCCUGUACGAAAGGACAAGAGAAAUAAGGCCCACUUCACAAAGCGCCUUCACCAUAUAAAUGACUUAGUCUUAAUUUACCAAAAUAUUACACACCCUACCCGAGAACAGGGUUU